GACGAACGCUGGCGGCGUGCUUAACACAUGCAAGUCGAACGGAAAGGCCCUGCUUUUGUGGGGUGCUCGAGUGGCGAACGGGUGAGUAACACGUGAGUAACCUGCCCUUGACUUUGGGAUAACUUCAGGAAACUGGGGCUAAUACCGGAUAGGAGCUCCUGCUGCAUGGUGGGGGUUGGAAAGUUUCGGCGGUUGGGGAUGGACUCGCGGCUUAUCAGCUUGUUGGUGGGGUAGUGGCUUACCAAGGCUUUGACGGGUAGCCGGCCUGAGAGGGUGACCGGCCACAUUGGGACUGGGGUACGGCCCAGACUCCUACGGGAGGCAGCAGUGGGGAAUAUUGCACCAUGGGCGGAAGCCUGAUGCAGCAACGCCGCGUGCGGGAUGACGGCCUUCGGGUUGUAAACCGCUUUCGCCUGUGACGAAGCGUGAGUGACGGUAAUGGGUAAAGAAGCACCGGCUAACUACGUG
RNAcentral lists this ribosomal RNA (468 nucleotides) under uncultured bacterium. Its description in RNAcentral is "partial 16S ribosomal RNA". It matches the Rfam family "Bacterial small subunit ribosomal RNA", at positions 28 to 507 of the family's 1533-position model. The record is from RNAcentral.